RNAcentral lists this ribosomal RNA (496 nucleotides) under Portunus pelagicus (sand crab). RNAcentral's name for it is "partial 16S ribosomal RNA". It matches the Rfam family "Bacterial large subunit ribosomal RNA", at positions 1856 to 2597 of the family's 2925-position model. The record is from RNAcentral. Lineage: Eukaryota; Metazoa; Arthropoda; Malacostraca; Decapoda; Portunidae.
AGCCUGCUCACUGAUAAAAUUAUUAAAUAGCCGCGGUAUCUUGACCGUGCAAAGGUAGCAUAAUCAUUAGUUUUUUAAUUGGAAACUAGCAUGAAUGGUUGGACAAAGAAAAAGCUGUCUCUUUCAUUAAAAUUGAAUUUAACUUCUAAGUGAAAAGGCUUAGAUAUCUUAGAGGGACGAUAAGACCCUAUAAAGCUUUAUAAAUUCAAAGAUUUUAUAUAUUUUUUUUAAUAAUGAUAAUUUUUCAAAAAUUUAUUGGGUUGGGGCAACAGAAGUAUAAUUAUCAAUAACUGCUAUAAAGUAUUACAAUUAUUUUUGUUAUUAGAGAGUUGUUGAUCCUCGAAAGGGAUUAAAAGAUCAAGUUACUUUAGGGAUAACAGCGUAAUUUAUCUUGAGAGUUCUUAUCAAAGGAUAAGUUUGCGACCUCGAUGUUGAAUUAAAAUGUCUUUAUAGUGCAGCAGCUAUACAAGAAGGUCUGUUCGACCUUUAAUUUUUU